CAGAAGUUGGAGUGAGCUGCAUCA
Molecule: non-coding RNA, 24 nt
Filed under: Cricetulus griseus (Chinese hamster)
Lineage: Eukaryota; Metazoa; Chordata; Mammalia; Rodentia; Cricetidae
Source: RNAcentral